RNAcentral lists this non-coding RNA (29 nucleotides) under Mus musculus (house mouse). The record is from RNAcentral. Lineage: Eukaryota; Metazoa; Chordata; Mammalia; Rodentia; Muridae.
UCAGUCCACAUGUGUGGUUGAGUGUUUGA